UAUCUCUCCGUACGGGGAAGGAUGAGAAGCUUCGACUAAGGUUCGAUUCGAGCGCAGCGAGAAAGCGUUGCCGCAGGCAACGACCCGAAGGGCGAAGCGCGCAGCGC
This 107-nucleotide small RNA is filed under the name Salmonella enterica subsp. enterica serovar Derby. RNAcentral describes it as "partial RtT sRNA". It matches the Rfam family "RtT RNA", at positions 1 to 106 of the family's 130-position model. Rfam says of the family: This family represents a bacterial cis-regulatory element known as RtT RNA. The exact function of RtT is unknown although it is thought that it may be involved in changing the cellular response in relation to amino acid starvation. Lineage: Bacteria; Pseudomonadati; Pseudomonadota; Gammaproteobacteria; Enterobacterales; Enterobacteriaceae. RNAcentral also lists the same sequence under 1 other name. The record is from RNAcentral.